UCCAGGAAAAGCCUCUAAGCAUCAGGUAACAUUAAAUCGUACCCCAAACCGACACAGGUGGUCAGGUAGAGAAUACUCAGGCGCUUGAGAGAACUCGGGUGAAGGAACUAGGCAAAAUGGUGCCGUAACUUCGGGAGAAGGCACGCUGGCAUUAGGUAAAGAGACUUGCUCUCGGCGCCGAAGCCAGUCGCAGAUACCAGCUGGCUGCAACUGUUUAAUAAAAACACAGCACUGUGCAAACACGAAAGUGGACGUAUACGGUGUGACGCCUGCCCGGUGCUGGAAGGUUAAUUGAUGGGGUCAGCCGCAAGGCGAAGCUCUUGAUCGAAGCCCCAGUAAACGGCGGCCGUAACUAUAACGGUCCUAAGGUAGCGAAAUUCCUUGUCGGGUAAGUUCCGACCUGCACGAAUGGCGUAAUGAUGGCCAGGCUGUCUCCACCCGAGACUCAGUGAAAUUGAACUCGCUGUGAAGAUGCAGUGUACCCGCGGCAAGACGGAAAGACCCCGUGAACCUUUACUAUAGCUUGACACUGAACAUUGAGCCUUGAUGUGUAGGAUAGGUGGGAGGCAUUGAAGUGUGGACGCCAGUCUGCAUGGAGCCAACCUUGAAAUACCACCCUUUAAUGUUUGAUGUUCUAACUCGGCCCCAUAAUCUGGGGUGAGGACAGUGUCUGGUGGGUAGUUUGACUGGGGCGGUCUCCUCCCAAAGAGUAACGGAGGAGCACGAAGGUUAGCUAAUCACGGUCGGACAUCGUGAGGUUAGUGCAAAGGCAUAAGCUAGCUUGACUGCGAGAGUGACGGCUCGAGCAGGUACGAAAGUAGGUCUUAGUGAUCCGGUGGUUCUGAAUGGAAGGGCCAUCGCUCAACGGAUAAAAGGUACUCCGGGGAUAACAGGCUGAUACCGCCCAAGAGUUCAUAUCGACGGCGGUGUUUGGCACCUCGAUGUCGGCUCAUCACAUCCUGGGGCUGAAGUAGGUCCCAAGGGUAUGGCUGUUCGCCAUUUAAAGUGGUACGCGAGCUGGGUUUAGAACGUCGUGAGACAGUUCGGUCCCUAUCUGCCGUGGGCGUUGGAAGAUUGAGAGGGGCUGCUCCUAGUACGAGAGGACCGGAGUGGACGAAUCACUGGUGUUCGGGUUGUCAUGCCAAUGGCAUUGCCCGGUAGCUAAAUUCGGAAGAGAUAACCGCUGAAAGCAUCUAAGCGGGAAACUUGCCUCGAGAUGAGUCUUCCCUGGGGCUUUAAGCCCCCUGAAGGAACGUUAAAGACUAUGACGUUGAUAGGCUGGGUGUGUAAGUGCAGCGAUGCAUUGAGCUAACCAGUACUAAUGAUCCGUGAGGCUUAACCUU
Molecule: ribosomal RNA, 1343 nt
Filed under: Yersinia enterocolitica
Lineage: Bacteria; Pseudomonadati; Pseudomonadota; Gammaproteobacteria; Enterobacterales; Yersiniaceae
Description: partial 23S ribosomal RNA
Rfam family: Bacterial large subunit ribosomal RNA
Source: RNAcentral